Molecule: ribosomal RNA, 219 nt
Filed under: uncultured bacterium
Lineage: Bacteria
Description: partial 16S ribosomal RNA
Rfam family: Bacterial small subunit ribosomal RNA
Source: RNAcentral
UGUCUCAGUUCGGAUUGGAGUCUGCAACCCGACUCCAUGAAGCUGGAUUCGCUAGUAAUCGCGCAUCAGCCACGGCGCGGUGAAUACGUUCCCGGGCCUUGUACACACCGCCCGUCACACCAUGGGAGUUUGUAACGCCCAAAGUCGGUGGCCUAACCUUUAUGGAGGGAGCCGCCUAAGGCGGGACAGAUGACUGGGGUGAAGUCGUAACAAGGUAGC